Molecule: ribosomal RNA, 497 nt
Filed under: uncultured bacterium
Lineage: Bacteria
Description: partial 16S ribosomal RNA
Rfam family: Bacterial small subunit ribosomal RNA
Source: RNAcentral
GAUGAACGCUGGCGGCGUGCCUAAUACAUGCAAGUCGAGCGAACAGACGAGGAGCUUGCUCCUCUGACGUUAGCGGCGGACGGGUGAGUAACACGUGGAUAACCUACCUAUAAGACUGGGAUAACUUCGGGAAACCGGAGCUAAUACCGGAUAAUAUAUUGAACCGCAUGGUUCAAUAGUGAAAGACGGUUUUGCUGUCACUUAUAGAUGGAUCCGCGCCGCAUUAGCUAGUUGGUAAGGUAACGGCUUACCAAGGCAACGAUGCGUAGCCGACCUGAGAGGGGGGUCGGCCACACGGGAGCUGAGACAGCGUCCAGACUCCUACGGGAGGCAGCAGUAGGGAAUCGUCCGCAAUAGGCGGAAGCUUGACGGAGCAACGCCGCGUGAGUGGUGAAGGUCCUCGGAUCGUAAAACUCUGUUAUUGGGGAAGAACAAAUGUGUAAGUAACUAAGCACGUCUUGACGGUACCUAAUCAGAAAGCCACGGCUAACUACGUG